AGCAGCCGCGGUAAUUCCAGCUCCAAUAGCGUAUAUUAAAGUUGUUGCAGUUAAAAGGCUCGUAGUUGAAUUUCGGAAUCGACGGAUUGGUCGCGCCUUCGGUGUGUACUGGUCUUGCCGGUUUCUCCCUUCUGACGAACCACGAUGUCAUUAAUUUGGUGUCGUGGGGAAUCAGGACUGUUACUUUGAAAAAAUUAGAGUGUUUAAAGCAGGCAUUAGCUUGAAUACAUUAGCAUGGAAUAAUGAAAUAGGACGUUUGAUCUUAUUUUGUUGGUUUCUAGGAUCGACGUAAUGAUUAAUAGGGAUAGUUGGGGGCAUUAGUAUUCAAUUGUCAGAGGUGAAAUUCUUGGAUUUAUUGAAGACUAACUACUGCGAAAGCAUUUGCCAAGGAUGUUUUCAUUAAUCAAGAACGAAAGUUAGGGGAUCGAAGACGAUCAGAUACCGUCGUAGUCUUAACCAUAAACUAUGCCGACUAGGGAUCGGAUGAUGUUAAUUUUUUAAUGUACUCA
This 509-nucleotide ribosomal RNA is filed under the name uncultured Glomeraceae. RNAcentral describes it as "SSU rRNA". It matches the Rfam family "Eukaryotic small subunit ribosomal RNA", at positions 569 to 1082 of the family's 1831-position model. The record is from RNAcentral. Lineage: Eukaryota; Fungi; Glomeromycota; Glomeromycetes; Glomerales; Glomeraceae.